AUUGAACGCUGGCGGCAGGCCUAACACAUGCAAGUCGAACGAGUGGCGGACGGGUGAGUAAUGUCUGGGAAACUGCCUGAUGGAGGGGGAUAACUACUGGAAACGGUAGCUAAUACCGCAUACCAUCGGAUGUGCCCAGAUGGGAUUAGCUAGGAGGUGGGGUAAAGGCUCACCUAGGCGACGAUCCCUAGCUGGUCUGAGAGGAUGACCAGCCACACUGGAACUGAGACACGGUCCAGACUCCCACGUGAGGCAGCAGUGGGGAGUAUUGCACUAUGGGCGCAGGCCUGAUGCAGCCAUGCCGCGUGUAUGAAGAAGGCUUUCGGGUUGUACAGUACUUUCAGCGGGGAGGCGUUACCCGCAGAAGAAGCACCGACUAACUCCGUGCCAGCAGCCGCGGUAAUAC
This 406-nucleotide ribosomal RNA is filed under the name uncultured bacterium. RNAcentral's name for it is "partial 16S ribosomal RNA". It matches the Rfam family "Bacterial small subunit ribosomal RNA", at positions 30 to 526 of the family's 1533-position model. The record is from RNAcentral.